UGAAUACGAGACGCUAAGGCGUCGAAGUAGUGUAUGUCAUGCUUCCAAGAAAAGCUUGCACUGUCAUAGAUAAAAAACGCCUGUACCAUAACCGACACAGGUGGGUAGGUAGAGUAUACUAAGGGGCGCGAGAUAACUCUCUCUAAGGAACUCGGCAAAAUAACUCCGUAACUUCGGGAGAAGGAGUGCCUUAUUCUUAAGGUUGCAAUAACAAGAUCCAAGCAACUGUUUAUCAAAAACACAGGUCUCCGCUAAGUCGUAAGACGAUGUAUGGGGGCUGACGCCUGCCCAGUGCCAGAAGGUUAAAGAAGUUGGUUAGCAUUUGCGAAGCUGAUAACUGAAGCCCUGGUGAACGGCGGCCGUAACAAUAACGGUCCUAAGGUAGCGAAAUUCCUUGUCGGGUAAGUUCCGACCCGCACGAAAGGCGUAAUGAUUUGGAUACUGUCUCGGAGAGGGGCUCGGUGAAAUAGACUUGUCUGUGAAGAUGCGGACUACCUGCACCAGGACAGAAAGACCCUAUGAAGCUUUACUGUAACUUGAAAUUGAAAUUGGACUUUAUUCGCGCAGCAUAGGUGGGAGGCGUUGAUUAUAAUCUCGUGGGAUUAUUGGAGCCAUCAGUGAGAUACCACUCUUGUAAUGUUAGAUUUCUAACUUUGAAUCAUUAUCUGGUCAAAGAACAGUUUCAGGCGGGCAGUUUGACUGGGGCGGUCGCCUCCUAAACGGUAACGGAGGCGUACAAAGGUUUCCUCUGAACGGUUAGAAAUCGUAUCUAGAGUGUAAAGGCAUAAGGAAGCUUGACUGUGAGACCUACAAGUCGAGCAGGGACGAAAGUCGGUCUUAGUGAUCUGACGGUACUGAGUGGAAAGGCCGUCACUCAACGGAUAAAAGUUACUCUAAGGAUAACAGGCUGAUCUCCCCCAAGAGUUCACAUCGACGGGGAGGUUUGGCACCUCGAUGUCGGCUCAUCGCAUCCUGGGGCGGUAGUACGUCCCAAGGGUUGGGCUGUUCGCCCAUGAAAGCGGUACGCGAGCUGGGUUCAGAACGUCGUGAGACAGUUCGGUCCAUAUCCGGUGUAGGCGUUAGAAUAUUGAGAGGAGCCUUCUUUAGUACGAGAGGACCGAGAAGGACAUACCUCUGGUGUACCAGUUAUCGUGCCAACGGUAAACGCUGGGUAGCUAUGUAUGGAGUGGAUAACCGCUGAAAGCAUCUAAGUGGGAAGCCCACCUCAAGAUAAGUAUUCUCAU
RNAcentral lists this ribosomal RNA (1244 nucleotides) under metagenome. Its description in RNAcentral is "bacterial LSU rRNA". It matches the Rfam family "Bacterial large subunit ribosomal RNA", at positions 1564 to 2817 of the family's 2925-position model. The record is from RNAcentral.